GCCCUUUUCUUUUAACUCAGUGGUAGAGUAAUCCCAUGGUAAGGCAUAAGCCCUCGGGAUAAGGAGCU
Molecule: transfer RNA, 68 nt
Filed under: Ixeris polycephala
Lineage: Eukaryota; Viridiplantae; Streptophyta; Magnoliopsida; Asterales; Asteraceae
Description: tRNA-Thr
Source: RNAcentral